GGUGUCAGUAGUUUAAUGGCAAAACGUCCCGGCUGUGAACCGGGACAUGAGGGUUCGAAUCCCCCUGACACCC
Molecule: transfer RNA, 73 nt
Filed under: Chitinophaga tropicalis
Lineage: Bacteria; Pseudomonadati; Bacteroidota; Chitinophagia; Chitinophagales; Chitinophagaceae
Description: Chitinophaga sp. ysch24 tRNA-His
Rfam family: tRNA
About the family: Transfer RNA (tRNA) molecules are approximately 80 nucleotides in length. Their secondary structure includes four short double-helical elements and three loops (D, anti-codon, and T loops).
Source: RNAcentral